Molecule: unclassified non-coding RNA, 117 nt
Organism: Macaca mulatta (Rhesus monkey)
Lineage: Eukaryota; Metazoa; Chordata; Mammalia; Primates; Cercopithecidae
Rfam family: Metazoan signal recognition particle RNA
About the family: The signal recognition particle (SRP) is a universally conserved ribonucleoprotein. It is involved in the co-translational targeting of proteins to membranes.
Source: Ensembl
GCUGGGCGUGGUGGCUCACGCCUGUAAUCCCGGCACUUUGGGAGGCUGAGGCGGGUGGAUUACCUGAGGUCAGGAGUUCCAGACCAGCCUGGCCAACAUGGUGAAACCCCGUCUCUA